Molecule: ribosomal RNA, 462 nt
Filed under: Leptobrachium ngoclinhense
Lineage: Eukaryota; Metazoa; Chordata; Amphibia; Anura; Megophryidae
Description: partial 12S rRNA
Rfam family: Bacterial small subunit ribosomal RNA
Source: RNAcentral
UUCGCCAGGGAACUACGAGCAUUAGCUUAAAACCCAAAGGACUUGGCGGUGCCCUAAACCACCUAGAGGAGCCUGUUCUAUAAUCGAUAAUCCACGAUAAACCUCACCGUUUCUUGCCAACCCCGCCUAUAUACCGCCGUCGUCAACUCACCCUUUGAAGGAUUCACAGUAAGUUUAAAGGUACCCGCCAAAACGUCAGGUCAAGGUGUAGCGAAUGAAACGGGAAGAAAUGGGCUACAUUUUCUAUUCUAGACUACACGGACAAUCAUUAUGAAAUUUGAUUGUGAAGGAGGAUUUAGCAGUAAAAAGGAAUCAUCAUGUUCUUUUUAACAUGGCCCUAGGGCGCGCACACACCGCCCGUCGCCUCUUCAAUAUAAAAAUUUUUUAUUACAUAAUAAUCUAUUAUUAAACUAAGAAGAGGUAAGUCGUAACAUGGUAAGUAUACCGGAAGGUGUACUUGGA